UUUAAUGCUGAAAUGAUCGUGAAG
Molecule: non-coding RNA, 24 nt
Filed under: Cricetulus griseus (Chinese hamster)
Lineage: Eukaryota; Metazoa; Chordata; Mammalia; Rodentia; Cricetidae
Source: RNAcentral